This 751-nucleotide ribosomal RNA is filed under the name Campylobacter jejuni. RNAcentral's name for it is "bacterial SSU rRNA". It matches the Rfam family "Bacterial small subunit ribosomal RNA", at positions 693 to 1440 of the family's 1533-position model. Lineage: Bacteria; Pseudomonadati; Campylobacterota; Epsilonproteobacteria; Campylobacterales; Campylobacteraceae. The record is from RNAcentral.
GAUAUCACCAAGAAUACCCAUUGCGAGGCGAUCUGCUGGAACUCAACUGACGCUAAGGCGCGAAAGCGUGGGGAGCAAACAGGAUUAGAUACCCUUGGUAGUCCACGCCCCUAAACGAUGUACACUAGUUGUUGGGGUGCUAGUCAUCUCAGUAAUGCAGCUAACGCAUUAAGUGUACCGCCUGGGGAGUACGGUCGCAAGAUUAAAACUCAAAGGAAUAGACGGGGACCCGCACAAGCGGUGGAGCAUGUGGUUUAAUUCGAAGAUACGCGAAGAACCUUACCUGGGCUUGAUAUCCUAAGAACCUUUUAGAGAUAAGAGGGUGCUAGCUUGCUAGAACUUAGAGACAGGUGCUGCACGGCUGUCGUCAGCUCGUGUCGUGAGAUGUUGGGUUAAGUCCCGCAACGAGCGCAACCCACGUAUUUAGUUGCUAACGGUUCGGCCGAGCACUCUAAAUAGACUGCCUUCGUAAGGAGGAGGAAGGUGUGGACGACGUCAAGUCAUCAUGGCCCUUAUGCCCAGGGCGACACACGUGCUACAAUGGCAUAUACAAUGAGACGCAAUACCGCGAGGUGGAGCAAAUCUAUAAAAUAUGUCCCAGUUCGGAUUGUUCUCUGCAACUCGAGAGCAUGAAGCCGGAAUCGCUAGUAAUCGUAGAUCAGCCAUGCUACGGUGAAUACGUUCCCGGGUCUUGUACUCACCGCCCGUCACACCAUGGGAGUUGAUUUCACUCGAAGCCGGAAUACUAAAC